CGCUAAUCGGAUCAGGGUUAGUCGGGGCCUAAGGCGCAUCCGAAGGGAGUAAGCCGAUGGACAACUGGUUAAUAUUCCAGUACUUUUUAUAACUGCGAUGUGGUGACGGAGUAGUGACACUGCCGCGAACUGACGGAAUAGUUCGUUAAAAGGCGUAGGUAUAGGGACGGUAGGCAAAUCCGCCGACCCUGCUGAAACCCAAUAGUACAGCAAAGCUUCGGCGGCGCUGAUAGAGCAGGUAAACAGACUUCCAAG
Molecule: ribosomal RNA, 255 nt
Filed under: Sphingobacterium faecium
Lineage: Bacteria; Pseudomonadati; Bacteroidota; Sphingobacteriia; Sphingobacteriales; Sphingobacteriaceae
Description: partial 23S ribosomal RNA
Rfam family: Bacterial large subunit ribosomal RNA
Source: RNAcentral